RNAcentral lists this non-coding RNA (22 nucleotides) under Arabidopsis thaliana (thale cress). The record is from RNAcentral. Lineage: Eukaryota; Viridiplantae; Streptophyta; Magnoliopsida; Brassicales; Brassicaceae.
UAUGAAGAGAAUUGGCCAACUU